AGGGUUUGAUCAUGGCUCAGAUUGAACGCUGGCGGCAGGCCUAACACAUGCAAGUCGAGCGGUAGAGAGAAGCUUGCUUCUCUUGAGAGCGGCGGACGGGUGAGUAAUGCCUAGGAAUCUGCCCGGUAGUGGGGGAUAACGUUCGGAAACGGACGCUAAUACCGCAUACGUCCUACGGGAGAAAGCAGGGGACCUUCGGGCCUUGCGCUAUCAGAUGAGCCUAGGUCGGAUUAGCUAGUUGGUGAGGUAAUGGCUCACCAAGGCGACGAUCCGUAACUGGUCUGAGAGGAUGAUCAGUCACACUGGAACUGAGACACGGUCCAGACUCCUACGGGAGGCAGCAGUGGGGAAUAUUGGACAAUGGGCGAAAGCCUGAUCCAGCCAUGCCGCGUGUGUGAAGAAGGUCUUCGGAUUGUAAAGCACUUUAAGUUGGGAGGAAGGGUUGUAGAUUAAUACUCUGCAAUUUUGACGUUACCGACAGAAUAAGCACCGGCUAACUCUGUGCCAGCAGCCGCGGUAAUACAGAGGGUGCAAGCGUUAAUCGGAAUUACUGGGCGUAAAGCGCGCGUAGGUGGUUUGUUAAGUUGGAUGUGAAAUCCCCGGGCUCAACCUGGGAACUGCAUUCAAAACUGACUGACUAGAGUAUGGUAGAGGGUGGUGGAAUUUCCUGUGUAGCGGUGAAAUGCGUAGAUAUAGGAAGGAACACCAGUGGCGAAGGCGACCACCUGGACUAAUACUGACACUGAGGUGCGAAAGCGUGGGGAGCAAACAGGAUUAGAUACCCUGGUUAGUUCCACGGCCGGUAUAACGA
Molecule: ribosomal RNA, 811 nt
Filed under: uncultured Gammaproteobacteria bacterium
Lineage: Bacteria; Pseudomonadati; Pseudomonadota; Gammaproteobacteria
Description: bacterial SSU rRNA
Rfam family: Bacterial small subunit ribosomal RNA
Source: RNAcentral